AGUGAACGCUGGCGGUAGGCCUAACACAUGCAAGUCGAACGGCAGCACAGUAAGAGCUUGCUCUUACGGGUGGCGAGUGGCGGACGGGUGAGGAAUACAUCGGAAUCUACUUUUUCGUGGGGGAUAACGUAGGGAAACUUACGCUAAUACCGCAUACGGCCUACGGGUGAAAGCAGGGGAUCUUCGGACCUUGCGCGAUUGAAUGAGCCGAUGUCGGAUUAGCUAGUUGGCGGGGUAAAGGCCCACCAAGGCGACGAUCCGUAGCUGGUCUGAGAGGAUGAUCAGCCACACUGGAACUGAGACACGGUCCAGACUCCUACGGGAGGCAGCAGUGGGGAAUAUUGGACAAUGGGCGAAAGCCUGAUCCAGCCAUACCGCGUGGGUGAAGAAGGCCUUCGGGUUGUAAAGCCCUUUUGUUGGGAAAGAAAAGCAGCAGGUUAAUACCCCGCUGUUCUGGCGGUACCCAAAGAAUAAGCACCGGCUAACUUCGUG
This 492-nucleotide ribosomal RNA is filed under the name uncultured bacterium. Its description in RNAcentral is "partial 16S ribosomal RNA". It matches the Rfam family "Bacterial small subunit ribosomal RNA", at positions 29 to 507 of the family's 1533-position model. The record is from RNAcentral.